This 96-nucleotide microRNA precursor is filed under the name Bigelowiella natans CCMP2755. RNAcentral describes it as "miRNA EPrBNAG00000013262". Lineage: Eukaryota; Cercozoa; Chlorarachniophyceae. The record is from RNAcentral.
CGAUUUAUAAUAUGAUGAUGAUGAUGAUGAUGAUGAUUAUAAGAACUAAAAUUAGCUAUCUUCCCAUCACCAUCAUCAUCAUCAUCAUCAUCAUCA